Molecule: long non-coding RNA, 600 nt
Organism: Suricata suricatta (meerkat)
Lineage: Eukaryota; Metazoa; Chordata; Mammalia; Carnivora; Herpestidae
Exons: 2
Source: RefSeq, a predicted model, not a curated record
GUCGACCGCCGGCUACGUCUCAUCGCCAUUGGCCCGUACGCACGUCCGUCACAACUUCCUACCUCCCCCCCUCCCUGUUCCCCACACAGUAUUCCGGAGGUGCUCACCGCCUCGCCUGGUCACCGUUGGCCCCUCACGUCCGUAUUUCCCGAAACCUCUGGUUGCCGGAAGAAGGCGUUAUUUUCCUAAUGGGCGAAGAAGUAUGAAGAACCUGUGAACACGUGUGAAGACGCAGUUUCACUCUGCGGAAUGGAAAUUCAAGCAAAACAAUACCCCUUCCAGCCAUCAGACUGGCAACAGCCCUUGUGGGCCAGGACGUGGGAAACAGCCCUCUCGAGGGGGUCGGGCAGGCUCCUAAUUUAGCCUGGAGAAGUCCUCAGAAACGAGCUCUACGAACUUCUCUGCAGCGUCGGAGUGAGGUCGAAGGUCCAGAAACCCUCUGGCACCGCUGCUCGGGGGCUGUUGAAUCUGCCUCCUUCAUGCACCCUCUACGUGAACGAGGGGAGGUGCAAACCAUACUGUCCUGAGAAGAGAUGAGAACGCAAAUGACAGCGUAGUAUAUCCAGUGUAAUUUCAAUAUUUAUGCUUUUAAAAAACCAA